Small nuclear RNA from Sorex fumeus (smoky shrew), 104 nucleotides. The record is from RefSeq and is a predicted model, not a curated record. Lineage: Eukaryota; Metazoa; Chordata; Mammalia; Eulipotyphla; Soricidae.
GUUCUCGCUUCAGCAGCACAUAUACUAAAAAUUGGAAUGAUACAGAGAAGAUUACAUGGCCCCUGCGCAAGGAAAAACAACAACAAAAAUUCUAAGGGAUCUUA